RNAcentral lists this long non-coding RNA (454 nucleotides) under Brassica napus (rape). RNAcentral's name for it is "long non-coding RNA (BNAP_LNC025832)". Lineage: Eukaryota; Viridiplantae; Streptophyta; Magnoliopsida; Brassicales; Brassicaceae. The record is from RNAcentral.
UAGAACAGGGAGGUUUUCACGAUUUGCAGAGCUUAGUAUCGCAAAAACACUGUUCUCUAACCUCUCUGAAUUUUCAGGAACAAUCGGCAUGGCUUUUGAUGGGGAUAGAGAGAUAUUGUUUAGGUUUUUUCUAGAGAGAUAAAGGCGUAAGAAAGGGUAUUAGAGAGGGCACUAUAUAUAGAGAAACAUAGAACGUGAAACGGCGGGAAUUGAAAUUUCUCAAAAUUCAUUUAUCUUAUUUCCCGCCAAACGACAACAUUUAACAAACGUGUCGGCCGAGUUAUAUAGCCUAUUACGGCUGAUUUAAUAUUUGGAAUUUAGGGUUUAGGGUUUAGUAUUUAGAGUUUAGGUUUGUUUAUUUAGGGAUUUAUGUUUAGGAUUUGGAAUAACGGUGUGAUAAAUAUAACAAAGAACAUAAAUUUAGUCUUAAAAUGCGUUGUAUAUAGUUUAGGAG